GCGGAAGCCGGAGUCCAGCACGAAAUGCCUCCUGGUACAAACAAAAGCGACCAGGAGGGGGAGCGCUGGCCCGGUCGGCGGGGCCAGGAAGCUCCAGGUCGUACUCCGAAGGAACCCCGUACCGAGCCCUUAUCAGGAGGAGUUCGUCCGGAGUCGACGAGCAUGGAAUGGCGCCCGGUGCGAAAACCGGGCGAGGCCCUGCCCCGGACGCGGGUUCGUCCGCAAAGACAGGGGCCUGGGGGUUCGAAGCAAAAGAACUCCCAGAGCUGACGGGGGCAGAAGAGUCGGAAGAUAUUUUUCGGGGGGAGAACCUAAAGGAUCCUAGAAAGGCAAACCGAGAAGGGAACGAGACGCCGAAGGUCAACUCAGAAGAAGACACAAAAGAAAUGAAAAGAAGAGAAGCCCCUAGGCGGUAAGAAGAAGGUGGGCACUAACCUAUCUUGCUCUGAGGACCUGGGGAGCGAGAAAUGGGAGGCGCCUACGGCUCGAGAGGGCGUUCACUAGAGCAGGCUCUCGGAGAGAAGACAGACGCCAACAAGAAAUCAGAAAUGGAGUAGGACGCCUGAAGGGGGGAGAACGGGUUUAAAUAGACCCUGGGAUCCGGCGCCAUAAUGAUCGCGAAUCCCCACAGGCCAGUCCGCAUCCGACGCGUGUCCCACUCCCCGUUGCAGACGGCUAAGGACGGCUGGCGGUUGGCAGGGUCAUAAUUGCGCCGUACCUAGGCCAACGUACCUGUGGGGUUUUCGAAGCGUCCCCUCGUACCGCCCCAAUUCGAAAAGACUCCGGCACGCGCUCAUUUAAUGCCAAAAUAUCUGGGAGCGGCAGGGCACGGGAUUCGAAGGG
This 843-nucleotide long non-coding RNA is filed under the name Elaeis guineensis (African oil palm). Its description in RNAcentral is "long non-coding RNA (EGUI_LNC058400)". Lineage: Eukaryota; Viridiplantae; Streptophyta; Magnoliopsida; Arecales; Arecaceae. The record is from RNAcentral.